This is a long non-coding RNA of Prinia subflava (tawny-flanked prinia), 511 nucleotides long. RefSeq lists it as uncharacterized. The transcript has 4 exons. NCBI's taxonomy places the organism in Eukaryota, Metazoa, Chordata, Aves, Passeriformes, Cisticolidae. The record is from RefSeq and is a predicted model, not a curated record.
UUAGCAAGUUGUUGUUGCCUGGGGAUAGUUUAAAAAGAGGGUGCUGUGGAUAAGGGUACAAGAGAUUCGUGCCCCAGGCUAUGAUUCCUCAUAUCAACCCAAGGAGGCAGUAGGGAAGAACUGAAGAAAGCAGAGAUGAGCUGACUCCCUCUGUCUUCCAGAAGAUAUCAAGCAGAGGCUGGCCAGAGCUAAGAAGCUGAAUCUGCCCCAGAUUGUCCAGCCUCAGGCAUGAGACAUCCCAUCACAAGGUUCCUCAGCUGGUGAAGGUCAGUUUGGAGAGCUCACCUUAUUUCCAGCUGGUGGGCCCCGAUGAUGUGUGCUGCAAGGUGCCAUCAGGCCUCUCCACGGCCCUUCAUGUCCUCUUCACCCCUGUGCAGAACAAGCCCUUUCUCUGUCAUUCUGGCCAUGGGAACGCUGGGCAUUGGUGACACCAUGCAGGUGACAGUGGGAUUUCAGCCACUGAAGACUGGUGACAAUUCUGCAUCCCUUAUAGUGCAUUGCAGCACAGGUG